UACGGAAGGCAGCAGUGGGGAAUAUUGCACAAUGGGCGAAAGCCUGAUGCAGCUAUGCCGCGUGUAUGAAGAAGGCCUUAGGGUUGUAAAGUACUUUCAUCGGGGAGGAAAAAACAAAACUAAUAAUUUUAUUUCUUGACGUUACCCGAAAAAGAAGCACCGGCUAACUCCGUGCCAGCAGCCGCGGUAAUACGGAGGGUGCUAGCGUUAAUCAGAAUUACUGGGCGUAAAGAGCACGUAGGUGGUUUUUUUAAAGUCAGAUGUGAAAUCCCUGGGCUUAACCUAGGAACUGCAUUUUGAAACUGAAAUACUAGAGUAUCGUAGAGGGAGGUAGAAUUCUAGGUGUAGCGGUGAAAUGCGUAGAUAUCUGGAGGAAUACCUGUGGCGAAAGCGGCCUCCUAAACGAAUACUGACACUGAGGUGCGAAAGCGUGGGGAGCAAACAGGGAUUAGAUACCCGU
RNAcentral lists this ribosomal RNA (460 nucleotides) under uncultured bacterium. RNAcentral's name for it is "bacterial SSU rRNA". It matches the Rfam family "Bacterial small subunit ribosomal RNA", at positions 340 to 789 of the family's 1533-position model. The record is from RNAcentral.